AGACAUGUAUUAAUUAUCAUAGGUGAUGCAUGCAUCUCCUAAUUAUCAAAGGCUCCAAUAAUCAACAUGGACGGAUGCCAUACAUCAGCGCAUUGUAAUGCUGAUUUGGCACUUGAACAAGACAUGGUGUUAUUACUUCUUAGUUCUUUAAACAAUUCUCCAAAGGACAGCUCCACCCUCCAUCAUCAGGUAAUUCUGUACCUGAACCAAAAGAAGAUUAGAAUUUAGAAACUAAUCAAUUGUUGUGAGAACAGCGUAUGCUAUGCGUAAAAUAUCAUGCAUGCUAAUGACAUUACCACAUGGAUUAGAAAUCAAGUAAAGUUGUAUAUCAAAACCGUAUCUCCACCAAAAGUUUUCUCGAGCUUACUAUUAGCCUAAAAGAAUUCAACAAUUGAAUCUUCAAAAUCAUAACAAAAUAGUAGGAAUUCAAUAACAUUCAUUAUUCCAUAGAGGUUCUGGAAUGUACACGAUGCAAAACCAAAAGGACAAGCAAACCAUAGUAGUUUGUAUGAAAAUGAUUACCAUCAGGAAAAAACAAUUUUUUGAAAAUGUUCCUUUUGGAGAUACCGAGAUGCAGUUUAUUAUUAAUUUAAACAAAACAUGCGCUUUACGGAGAGAUGAAAAAUUAUGAUACUGCAACAAAACUGUACAAUUUAAGUAGAAAAUGACCAAAAAGGAGCGCUUCAUGUGCCUACAUGACCUUACUUUUUAGAAAUAUCAUAAGUUGCUUUAUAAACUGUUAAAAACAACUUAACUGCUAAGAGUACAAUAUAGCAUCUACUAUCGUAGCGUCGAUCGUGCAGGGAACUACAAAUUGGAUUUGAUUGCUCACAACCAUAGAAAAGAAAGUGAAGACUUAAGAUCAAAUUUGCUGGAGCAAACAAUGUUGGCGCGGCCUCCUCGCAGCACCGCUUCGUCUUCUUUCUCACACAACUCUCACUUGUAAUUUCUCUCAAGAACACACACAUGAUGAGAAAACUCCACACAUACACACACGCCAAGGAAGACACCAGC
RNAcentral lists this long non-coding RNA (1014 nucleotides) under Triticum aestivum (bread wheat). RNAcentral's name for it is "long non-coding RNA (TAES_LNC020193)". The record is from RNAcentral. Lineage: Eukaryota; Viridiplantae; Streptophyta; Magnoliopsida; Poales; Poaceae.